AGUGAACGCUGGCGGUAGGCCUAACACAUGCAAGUCGAACGGCAGCACAGUAAGAGCUUGCUCUUACGGGUGGCGAGUGGCGGACGGGUGAGGAAUACAUCGGAAUCUACUUUUUCGUGGGGGAUAACGUAGGGAAACUUACGCUAAUACCGCAUACGACCUACGGGUGAAAGCAGGGGAUCUUCGGACCUUGCGCGAUUGAAUGAGCCGAUGUCGGAUUAGCUAGUUGGCGGGGUAAAGGCCCACCAAGGCGACGAUCCGUAGCUGGUCUGAGAGGAUGAUCGGCCACACUGGAACUGAGACACGGUCCAGACUCCUACGGGAGGCAGCAGUGGGAAAUAUUGGACAAUGGGCGCAAGCCUGAUCCAGCCAUACCGCGUGGGUGAAGAAGGCCUUCGGGUUGUAAAGCCCUUUUGUUGGGAAAGAAAAGCAGCAGGUUAAUACCCCGCUGUUCUGACGGUACCCAAAGAAUAAGCACCGGCUAACUUCGU
This 491-nucleotide ribosomal RNA is filed under the name uncultured bacterium. RNAcentral describes it as "partial 16S ribosomal RNA". It matches the Rfam family "Bacterial small subunit ribosomal RNA", at positions 29 to 506 of the family's 1533-position model. The record is from RNAcentral.